AUUGAACGCUGGCGGCAGGCCUAACACAUGCAAGUCGAGCGAGCGGCGGACGGGUGAGUAAUGUAUGGGGACUGCCCGAUAGAGGGGGAUAACUACUGGAAACGGUAGCUAAUACCGCAUACUAUCGGAUAACCCAUAUGGGAUGAGCUAGUAGGUGAGGUAAUGGCUAGCCUAGGCGACGAUCCCUAGCUGGUCUGAGAGGAUGAUCAGCCACACUGGGCCUGAGGCACUGCCCAGACGUCUACGGAUGCAGCAGUGGGGAAUAUUGGACAAUGGGCGCAAGCGUGAUGUAGCCAUGCCGCGGGUAUGAAGAAGGCCCUAGGGUUGUAAAGUACUUUCAGUCGUGAGGCGUUACCGACAGAAGAAGCACCGGCUAACUCCGUGCCAGCAGCCGCGGUAAUUC
This 403-nucleotide ribosomal RNA is filed under the name uncultured bacterium. Its description in RNAcentral is "partial 16S ribosomal RNA". It matches the Rfam family "Bacterial small subunit ribosomal RNA", at positions 30 to 526 of the family's 1533-position model. The record is from RNAcentral.